UACGAAGGGGGCUAGCGUUGCUCGGAAUCACUGGGCGUAAAGGGUGCGUAGGCGGGUUUUUAAGUCAGAGGUGAAAUCCUGGAGCUCAACUCCAGAACUGCCUUUGAUACUGGGAAUCUUGAGUAUGGAAGAGGUGAGUGGAAUUGCGAGUGUAGAGGUGAAAUUCGUAGAUAUUCGCAAGAACACCAGUGGCGAAGGCGGCUCACUGGUCCAUAACUGACGCUGAGGCACGAAAGCGUGGGGAGCAAACAGG
RNAcentral lists this ribosomal RNA (253 nucleotides) under uncultured bacterium. RNAcentral's name for it is "partial 16S ribosomal RNA". It matches the Rfam family "Bacterial small subunit ribosomal RNA", at positions 524 to 776 of the family's 1533-position model. The record is from RNAcentral.